AUUAUCCUGAAAAUUACAAAGGCAAAAGGUUUGGUGAAGUCAUUGGGCCGGUUUGCGAUAGGAGUUGGGCUCCCAUUCUCCAUCGGCCCUCACAUUAUUCGUCCUGAACCCUAGCUAGCUCGGAUCAGCUGGAGCGGCGGCGGAGCAUACCAUGCGAGGCGAGCGCUCUCAUAUGAUCGGAUCGGUGGAUCCAAUCGGACCCCGCAGCCCAACCCCGACCGUCCCGCUCGCCUUGGCCGAUGACCACGUCCCUCCAAAACGGCGGCGAUGAUGGAGGGAUCCGCCAGCGUCGGCCAGGCUCCCAACCCAUGGACUCGCCGGGUCGCCGCUCCUCGGGGCCAGCCCCUCUCGCCGCGCCUGCUCGGGGACCCCUCGGGGAUGCCGCCGGUGCGGUGGGACGUCCGCGGCGGCGCCGGCUGGGCACCGAGCGGCGGGUCCCGUGGCGGGGGUUCCGGUCGGGGGCUUGGUCCGGCCGGCGCGGGAUCUGAGCUGCCGUCGAUCUGAGCCGCCGGCGCUUGGCUGCAUGUUGCUCUGGAUCCGUGACUCCUUUUAUGUGAAGUGAACAAAUGUCAAUUGCUUCUUUCAUUGCCAGUAAUACAGCCAUCAGUGCAGUGUUCCAAAUUAACUUCUGAAUACAGUAUAUAUGUUUCCGUUGUAUGUUGAUUAUAAUUAUGGUUUUCUGAAUGGCUAUGGUGAUUUCCGCC
Molecule: long non-coding RNA, 704 nt
Organism: Hordeum vulgare subsp. vulgare (domesticated barley)
Lineage: Eukaryota; Viridiplantae; Streptophyta; Magnoliopsida; Poales; Poaceae
Exons: 2
Source: RefSeq, a predicted model, not a curated record